Long non-coding RNA from Myzus persicae (green peach aphid), 5545 nucleotides. RefSeq lists it as uncharacterized. The transcript has 3 exons. Lineage: Eukaryota; Metazoa; Arthropoda; Insecta; Hemiptera; Aphididae. The record is from RefSeq and is a predicted model, not a curated record.
GUGAUAAUUGUAUAGCUGUUUUGUUCUACUUCUGUUUGUGGUUAAUAGUUUCGUGGUAAAUGUCAUCGCCAAAACACUUGCUGUAAACGGUUUAAAAUUGAUUGAACCCAUCUACAUGUCAUGUAUUUUUGUAUAACUAAUGUACAAGAUUACAUUGGUUGUAUGUUGAACAAUUUUUAUGCCAUUUUGUCAAAGCCAUGCUAGAACAUGAACAACAUUCUUGCGGAUUUAGUUUUAGAAGACUAAUUCCAGUAACAUUUAUGAUCAUAUUUGUACGAAUAAAACCAAUAAAAUAUGCUGUAAAUAAAUAAACGUAUACUAUUUCGUAGGUGACAAAAGGCGGAAGACAAAAAUUUGACAGUGUGAAGUCAUUGUUAAAUUCUACUCCCAUCUUGUUUUGUAUGAAAGCAUCAAAGUCUGGGCCAAAAUGUAAGUUCAGUACCUACAGCAAUUGUAAAUUUACUUUAAGAAAUUAGUGCCGAAUUUAGUAUAUUUGAUAUACUGCCAGGUCAAGUUGUUCGAAAAAAAUUAUAAGCAUAUCCCAAUUGACCAUUCACAGGUAUAUUAAUUGAAGUUUUGUAAAGUAAGUAUUGUAAUAUUAUAUUACAAAAUAUGUGUUUUUAUAGCUUUAUAUCAAUGGUGAAUUAUUAACAUCAAUAUCUUAUUAAUAUAAAAAAUCUAACCUAGAGAUAUAAUUUUGAAUACCAUUCUCGGUUAAAGAAUUUGGAGAUUUUAGAUUUCAGUCUCCAGUAUUUUCUAAAUUUUUUUUUGAAUUCUUAAAAUUCAUUUGCCCGUAGGCGCUCACGUCCCCCUUCACAGUUUUUUCAUUUAUUUUAAUGUAAUUAAUUUUUUUGUAUACAUUUUUUAAACUUUGAUAACCAGUCGGUGCCCUCUAAAAUAAUCAAUGUUUAAUGAGCUAAUUAUUUUGAAUACUAUUUUCAGUUUAAGUAUUUGGAGAUUGUAGACUGCAGUCUUUAGAGUGUGUCCUAAUAACUUGACUAUAUAAUAGUUUGGUAAAUCUGAACAACCUUAUAGCGAUCUCGGAAGCAAUUUUAAAAUACCGUCAAUCCUUCUAUUUUUAUAUUAUAAAUAACUGUUUUGUUUUUUCCUUGUAUAUAUUUAAGUACAAUACACAGUAUACGAUAUAUGUAUAAUUUUUUAUUACCGCCAUAUACGUUUACUCGUAUAUAAUAUACGAACAAUAUAGGAUGUGGACGUCAACAUUAAGAAAGUCAUCAUUCAAUAAAUCGAAGAAUCAAGAUCAUCCGUUGGAUCACAAGGUACCUAUAUAUACAUUAAAGCCAUGUGAUGUGAAAGUUAAAUAUCCACUAGUAUAUGAACUGCGAAGACGACAAAACUGAGAGCAGCUUCUGAUGAGGAUAUCUGAGAUGUAUGUACGUGACAGAAGAUUGCUAUAUGACUGUCGAAGAGAAAGUGUCAUACUACGAGACCGGCAAAUACAAGUUAAGCAUACUAAUCCCUCCUACUUGUAUAAGCACGAUAAAACAAUUCGAAAAAAUACAAAAAAUAGAGUAAGGACAAAGGUCAAAACACAUAAACGGAUUAUUUAUAAACAAUAUACAUAUUAUGUAAAAAGAACAAAACAAAACACGUUAAAUGUUAAUACUUUAGCAGAUAGGUCUUAGAAUAACAACAUUCGAUAUGAAACAUAAUAUAUAAGGAAUAAGGAUAUAUUAUUAUAUAGGAGUAUAGGACCUAUAUAUAAAGGCACCAAUGGUGAAAUAUCUUCACGGCCUCAAGCGUGUAAUAUAAUAGUGGAAACCUAAAUAUAUUAUAAAAAUUAAAAAUUGAUAAUAUUACAAACAUAGAAUGCAAUGCACAAACGGUGAACUAUACUAAAACGAUAAUUAGGUAUGCAUUAGAAAACUUGUGAAGAUUUAACAAGUAAAGUAUUAUUUCAUUCUUCAAAAAACCAUGGUAUCUGAGCACAAAAAGGAUAUUUCGGUAUUAAUGAAUUCCCAACGUAAUUAUUUCGAUAGAAACCCCCAUUAAUUUAACGAAAUAAAUUAUCUUUCUAUUAUAUAUUAUUAUUUACUAAUUACAUAAUAAGUAGACCAGAAGUGUAUCAUUUAAGAUUAGUAAUUACGACAAUACUUUAUUUUCAUAAACACAAUUUUGUCUAAAAAUGUACUUGCCUUUAACAAAAUGAUGACAAAUAAUACCAAUAGUUACAAUUUAAAGAUAGAUAAUACUAAAUAAUACAUACAAUAAAGUGAAAACAUAAUUGUUUGAGAUGAUAGGAGUAUUAGAAAUAUUUUUUCUAUUUUUGCAAAAAAAUCACCUAAAUAAUUUUUUUUUUUAAUUGAGCAUUACUAUUUAACUAUUAUAGCUCAACAGUUACAACUAACAUAGAUAAAUUAUAUUACCGAAAAACGAUCAUAAUAUUAUAAAAAAUAAAGAAAAAGUUUUUAUUUUCUUGAACAAAUGCAUGAGUAGUAUUAAUACCUAGGCACCAAAACAUUUAUUUUGCGUUUAUAUUGUUACAAUAUUUGUUGGGUAGUACAUCUUAAAAGAAAUUUGAGUAGAUUUAGCUAUGAACAAUUAGAUAAAAUGAUAGCUAUUAUACCUAACAUAAAAAUUAUAUUCAACCUACAAUCCAACCUACAUUAUUCAUUUUAUUCACUGUUUCGGAACUUUUAUUCGUCUUAAGACUCGCUUAUAGGCAUACGAUUUCUCUUCUAUUCUAUAUAAGUAAAUCAUAUAUUCAUUAUAUACCUACCUAUGUUAUAUAUAGUUAUUUAGUAUAUACGGUUCUUAUUUCCGUUCUUUAAAAACGUCUUCAAUAGGUUAGGGUUUUUGUUCGAUAUUUUCAAUGAAGUUAUUUUUUGUGUGUAAGACCAUUAAGACGAAAAAAAGUAUUCAAUUUUUAUAUGAACCAUUGAACCACGAUCCGUUGGUUUGUGCACCUAUACAUAAUUGCACAUACCGCAUUAAUUAUAUAUUUUUUAAUAUUAGUUAAACAGUGCCGGGUGCUUAUUAUACAGAUAUAAUAUAUUAUUAAAUGGACUGCAAAUGACAAUUUAAGUUUGUGGUAUAAUUUAACAUUAAAAUUUAAACCUUUGCAAGUCGUCACCAAUAUCUUUAACGAGUUAAAUUUAGUCCUAAACCUUCUCCUAGCUACUCUAACAUGCCUAGUAAACAAAAUAUGUAAAUAUUAAAAUAUUAUUGUAACCACAUUACUUCUGUUCAUCUAAAAUUACCAAUUGUCAAUUAUCCAUAGUACUUACAAAUAUUUUUAAUUAUCACGUUAAUCUGUUAAAACUAAUAUGUAAAUUGUCAAAAGUCACUAGAUUUAGGUAGCCUCAGGCUAGGAAUGUCUUUUAAAUAAUAAAAAAAAAACAUUACAAUUUUUUAAUCAUUUUGUUUAGAAAUACAGUUAUUUAUAUGAUUUUCAGUUUGCAUAACUCAAUAUAAACGCCAUGUAUUCAUUUUAAACCCGUAAUAAAAAUACACACUUUAUUUGCAAGAUCAUUAAAAUAUACACGUUAGAUUAAUAUUAUAAUGAGGUUCUAAAAAUUCUGAAAAUAGUAUUGAACCUAUAAUUUCUUUAAUAAAAUUAAUAUUGCAAAUUCAAAUACAAGUAUACUUUAAUCAUUUCAUUUUGCAAUUUUUUCAUAGGAAGUUAGUGGAUUUGAGUACUUACAUUAAAAAUAUAAAAUAAAUAAUUGUUUAUUUCAUAAGGUUAUUGACAUUCCUUAUUAUUUGUAUACAUAAUUAUAGUAUUGUGGUAUAAACAUUAAGUUGCGAUACCUAGGUUUUCUAUUAAAAAAAUAUAUCUAUUAUUGAUUAUCCGUAUGUAUAAAACAUAUGUGUUUACACAUAAAGUUGAGUAAGAUUACAAUAUUAAUUUCAUUCAACGCCUUGUUUGGAUAAAUGUUUAUUGGGACGCAGUGGGAUUGCAGCUGCAGGUACGUGAUGUGUAUAAUAUUAAAAAUAUACUAUGAUAUUAUUCAAAAAUAUUGAUUAUAUGCGUUAUUUAUCAAUUAUUGUACCUAUAGACAUUUUUUCUCUAAAUCAUUUGAGUCUCUUUAUUAAAAUUUAUAUAUAGACUGUGCGGGCUUGUUUCAUUGACAAACUUUUAAUUCAUAAUCAUAUAUUUCCCUUUUUAUUGUAGGUAUUUAGCUAUUGUAGCUAUUGUAAAAUUUAGUUUCUAAACUCUUCAAUUUGUAGAAAAUAAAUUAUAUUACACAUUUUAAUAGUAUACAAAAGUAUUAUCAUUAUGUACUAUCAUCGAAUGUUGAGAAUCCAUGUAAGACUGUCGGACAUACCUUGCGUUCCGAAGCCCCACCACAAACUGUUUGAUUUUCGUGUUCACAACAUGAUUCUAGGUCAAAAAUGUAUCGAUACCCUUGACACUCCCGAGUACCUGCCGAUUUUCAAGUCUUCUAUUGUAUACAAUCUUGACUCUUGUCUUUUAGUAUAGGUGUAAUGUACAUUUAAGUGAAUAAUUAAAUAUUUUGUUAUUAAGCGUUAUCUGCAAGUUGUAGUAUUAAUAUCAUUUAUUUUAUAUAUUGUUGAUAUACAUAAUCAAGAUUCAAAAUCUAUUGAUAAAUUAAUUAUUAUUUUAAAAUUUAUAAGUUAUUACAACAAAGAUGUUUAUUCUUACAAAAAAUAUCUUUGACUUGAUUGAUUAUUAAUAACAUUUGAUAACUUACCUAUAUUCAUUGGUUUAUAUAGUUUAGAUAACACCUAUACAUCGUAUAAUAUUAAUAAUUUAUACUUUAUAUGUAGGUACCUACCUAGAAUAUUUAAGUUUUUUUUACAAAUAUUCAAUGUAUACCUAUAGGAUUUGCUGAGUUUUUAUGUGUCAGGCGUGGCAUCCUUACGUGACGUAGGUGGAAAGUAUAGGUAUUCACAAGUCACAAACGACCGACAUAUGUAUCUUAUCAGUUUGUCUUUACGUAUAUAAUAUAAAUAAUAUGCACAUUACUGUGGUAUACCAUAUACGUGUGCAUAACUAUUUUAUUACUGCAUGCAGCAAGACAAAUUUCAGUUGAAUAUUGACUCUCUUUUUUUAAUUCGAGUCUGAAAUAUUGUAGAACAUAUUAUAUACUAUACAUAAUAUAUUGAUUUAAAUUUUAUAAAACCAUUGAUACAUAGAUAAAAACAAUUAAGCUAUACACCUCAAGAGUCACAGCCCAGGGGUCAGAUUUGUAAUUGGUAUGCCUAUACUUAUAUAGUUAAAUGCAACAGCGCAUAGCUAUUUACGCUAUUAUUUUGGCUUCAGUGUGUUUAGCUCCUACACCCCACCGAACAGUCUCCACCAUACAUUACUCAGUAGAAAAUCAUAAAGCCAUAAAGGAUAACAUCAUUAAACUCUUGGUUAGAAUAAUUUAGUUCGGCAUACGUUGUUUAAGUACAUUCGUAUUCACUUCAAAUAAAUGUAUUGCCCAAGGCUGGACUUUCAGUGGUUCACUAGAUCGCAAUCUCAUUGCAUUAAAUCAUUUUUUUUUCAUAAAAUAAUAUUAGGUAUAUACUUAGUAAUUAUAUAAUAUUAAUAAAUAAUAAUAAUAUUAUUUUAGUU